This 1023-nucleotide ribosomal RNA is filed under the name Acinetobacter johnsonii. RNAcentral describes it as "bacterial SSU rRNA". It matches the Rfam family "Bacterial small subunit ribosomal RNA", at positions 33 to 1052 of the family's 1533-position model. The record is from RNAcentral. Lineage: Bacteria; Pseudomonadati; Pseudomonadota; Gammaproteobacteria; Moraxellales; Moraxellaceae.
GUACAGGAGACGCGGCUUACCAUGCAGUCGAGCGGGGAAAGGUAGCUUGCUACCUGACCUAGCGGCGGACGGGUGAGUAAUGCUUAGGAAUCUGCCUAUUAGUGGGGGACAACAUUCCGAAAGGAAUGCUAAUACCGCAUACGCCCUACGGGGGAAAGCAGGGGAUCUUCGGACCUUGCGCUAAUAGAUGAGCCUAAGUCAGAUUAGCUAGUUGGUGGGGUAAAGGCCUACCAAGGCGACGAUCUGUAGCGGGUCUGAGAGGAUGAUCCGCCACACUGGGACUGAGACACGGCCCAGACUCCUACGGGAGGCAGCAGUGGGGAAUAUUGGACAAUGGGCGAAAGCCUGAUCCAGCCAUGCCGCGUGUGUGAAGAAGGCCUUUUGGUUGUAAAGCACUUUAAGCGAGGAGGAGGCUACUUAGAUUAAUACUCUAGGAUAGUGGACGUUACUCGCAGAAUAAGCACCGGCUAACUCUGUGCCAGCAGCCGCGGUAAUACAGAGGGUGCGAGCGUUAAUCGGAUUUACUGGGCGUAAAGCGUGCGUAGGCGGCUUCUUAAGUCGGAUGUGAAAUCCCUGAGCUUAACUUAGGAAUUGCAUUCGAUACUGGGAAGCUAGAGUAUGGGAGAGGAUGGUAGAAUUCCAGGUGUAGCGGUGAAAUGCGUAGAGAUCUGGAGGAAUACCGAUGGCGAAGGCAGCCAUCUGGCCUAAUACUGACGCUGAGGUACGAAAGCAUGGGGAGCAAACAGGAUUAGAUACCCUGGUAGUCCAUGCCGUAAACGAUGUCUACUAGCCGUUGGGGCCUUUGAGGCUUUAGUGGCGCAGCUAACGCGAUAAGUAGACCGCCUGGGGAGUACGGUCGCAAGACUAAAACUCAAAUGAAUUGACGGGGGCCCGCACAAGCGGUGGAGCAUGUGGUUUAAUUCGAUGCAACGCGAAGAACCUUACCUGGUCUUGACAUAGUAAGAACUUUCCAGAGAUGGAUUGGUGCCUUCGGGAACUUACAUACAGGUGCUGCAUGGCUGU